CAAGUCCCCCAAACGAAGACCUAUGCUAGAUUGGCUCUACCCAGUCAAGAAAUGUAGACCAGCCUCUGUGCCCCACUGUGAUGAGUACUGUGGGUUAGCUCUCAACCUCCAGCCCACCCUUGUAGGCACCUUCCCAGCUGUAGAGGUCAGAAAGCCAAAAGCUAUACUCACAGACUCCUUUGUAGCUAAGGUUCUGGUUGUAAAUAAGGUGGAAAUUAGAUGGCGGCCCUUUUUUUUCCUUUGCUGGAAGCCAGGUUGUGGAAACGUGGUUUUUCUGCAGCAACAUUCCAGCACCCAUUUUUCCUGCUAUGAAGAGGCGGCUGUGGUGGCAGCUUCUUGUCGGAGUUCUCCUGGUCCCUGACUGGCGACUAUGGAGGUCUAUGUUAAAUCAGCAGUUCCAGCAGAGGGUCAGAGGUAGUCGUUCCACAGCGGGCCAGUUUUCCCAUGUUCUCGGAGUCACCCCUGGAGGCCUUAUCCCAGAGCCAGCUCUCCCCUCCUUCUGCUCUUUCCAGCGAUGUUGUAAGCACUGAUACUUGAUGUGGCUCACUGUAGCAGAAUUCUUGGGAACAGUGUCUUCAGUUAUGCCAAGAAGAAUGGCAUUUCUCACAAGGAAGUGUGCCGCUGACUUAGAGCUGUCUGUUGGAAGGUUAUAGAGCUCUUCAAGGGAACAGAGUGUGUCCUGCUCAUCUUUACAUCCCAAGUACUUGACCCAAGGCCUAACACAUAAAGAACACUUGGUAAAUGUUUGUCGAACUGAACUAAAUUGUGAACAUCACAUAGGGAGCCUGUAGCCUACCUAAGAAGUGGAAAAAUACAUUUCCAGUUUAUGCUUCCAGUUUCAUUUGGGACUUGGGUGAUGUCGGACUUCCCUUCGCCAUGCAAUCCGUCCCGGACAUCGAUGGGGCUGCCUUGGUGAAGAAUGGUUCACCCAUCCUUUCACCCAUCUCUCACAUCACUUUGAGACCUUAGAUGGUCUCUUGCUGGGUGCACAUUCAUUGUAUCAUCUAAAGAGUAUUUCCUAUAAAAGUUUCUGGUGAUUGGAGCUUCUGGAUUGGUGAAUACAUCAAGAUUCUGGGAGGGUGAUGUUCCAGGAGAGGGCAUGGGAGCUCCACAUUCCUCCUCCCAUACCUUGCCCUAUGCAUCUCUUCCACUGUUCCUGAGUUGUAUCCUUUAUAAUAAUAAUAGUCACAGUAAGUAAAGCACUUUCCUGAGUUCUUUGAGUCAUUCUAGUGAAUUAUCGAGUCUUGGAGAGGGGACUGUGGGAACCCCCAAAUUUGUAGCCAAGUCAGAUCCUGUCCACCCUGUUUGCAACUGGUGUCUGAAGUGAGGGCAGUCUUAUGGGACUGAGCCCUUAACCCUGUGGAGUCUGAUGCUAACUCUGGAUAGUUAGUGUCAGAAUGGAAUUGAAUUGUAGGAUGCCUAGUUGAUGUCAAAGAAUCAGAGAAUUGGCUGUUGUGUGGAAAGCCUCCACACAUUUGGUAUCAGAAGUAUUGUGAGUAAAAACAGCGCUUUUGGUGUUAGAAAAUGUGGGAUUCGCUAAAACAGCCCGUGCCCACUGAAACAGGUGGUUCGGGAAGAGAAAGAAUUAAAGGAUGCAGGAUGAGAAACCUUUCAUUCCUGGGUGGCCACGUGGCCACUCAUAGGGUGGUGCAGCAGCUGUGCUGCAAUAAGUUACUAAAGGUAAAAGUUACCAAGGGAAUGUAGAGUUGGAUCCACUUCCCAGGGAGUUGGUUCAUUGGAUGUAUAAGAAAUACAAACAAAUAAGAAAAAAGCAAAAUAUACAGUCCCUUGGUUAUUGGUAUCUAUAAUAGCUAAAAUAAAUUAAAAGAGUGCUAGGUCAGAUCUUGAUGCUGAACCAAACUCAGAUUUCGAUCAGUCUGAGCUUCAACCACUAGUGUCAAAGCCACCUGCAAAAGGAAGGAUUAAGCAAGACAACAGAGAGUACCCCUAAUACCCCUGGUCACCAAGAAGAUGGUCCUCACUGAGGGAGGGCAAAACCAAAAAACUAUUGAAACCAGGAGGUACAGUGUGAAGGAGCUGUUGAAACCGGAAAACAAUCAUUGACGAUUAAGUAUCUAGGUAUUAAAGUUUUUUCCUUUUUGCAAUUACUGAUUAUAGCUUUUAGCUGUUUCACCCACCCAUUGUUAACUGUGCUGCUUAGGCAAUAUGCUGUCUGACUCCCACUAGGCUCCUAUAGAGAACAUCUUCCUGGAGCCUGGGUCACCAUGGUAGGUAAUGAGUGUGUGAGCUGUUUUUCAGGAAUUAGAACUCCUUGUCCACUCCAGGCUGGUUGAGACCACCAACUCAUCGACUGGGCCCACAGAGAUGUCCAAUAAGCGACCUUUUGAUGUCAAGACGCUAAAAACUCCACCCUCAGAUCAUGCUAACACCAUCAUUUUGUAAACAUGGGUCCUAUGAAGAGGCAUGAAGUCUGACUACGCUUGCACACAUCAUCAAUUACCUCAUCUCUCCUCACCUCCAAUCACCUCUCUCCACAUUUCAGACCACCUUGCCCCCCCCAUCCCAUAAAUAUCCCUGAGCCCCUAUUUUCAGGGAAGUGAAUUUGAGGCUCAUGCUCUCGCUUCCUCA
RNAcentral lists this long non-coding RNA (2589 nucleotides) under Equus caballus (horse). RNAcentral's name for it is "lncRNA (ENSECAG00000053003.1)". The record is from RNAcentral. Lineage: Eukaryota; Metazoa; Chordata; Mammalia; Perissodactyla; Equidae.